This is a long non-coding RNA of Nyctereutes procyonoides (raccoon dog), 2496 nucleotides long. RefSeq lists it as uncharacterized. Lineage: Eukaryota; Metazoa; Chordata; Mammalia; Carnivora; Canidae. The transcript is spliced from 4 exons. The record is from RefSeq and is a predicted model, not a curated record.
GCCGCCCUGCCCGCGGGGGCCUCCGGGCCAGCCCGCCCUGGGCCUCGGGAGCGGCGGCGGUGCGCGCCCGCGGCCUCGGCCUGGAGCCCCCGCGGGGGCCUGACCCGCGCUCUGCGGGCCGCCAGCUGUGUGACCUUGGCCAAAACGUUUACGUUUUCCUGGCCUCGUUCUCCCCAGCUGUGAAGGCGCUGUGACCUGCGGCUCCCGGGGCCCAAGGGAUCAGAUCCGAUAUCCCUCUGCAGGCUCUGGCCUGCCGCCGUGACCGAACCCGCGCUCCUCUCAUCCUCUCAUCGUCACGGGAGAUGCCGGAUCCCCACAGAGGUGGAGGAGCGCCGCAGAGUCCCUUCACUGCUUACCGGGCCCCUACUGCUCGGUCUUGCUGAAACUCUCAUUCAUGUGUCUCUCUGUUCGCUUGCGUUGUUGGCGUCCUGUGCGCGGGCACAAACACCUCCUGGGAUCAGCUCCGGUCCCAAGCAGAGAGCCUGUGCGCCGCCGUUAUUUCCUGUGCCUCGAGCAGUGCCAGGCCCCGUAGUAGGACCUUGAAAAAAUGCUUGUCGUGUGAAUACGGCACCACCAUCUACACAGUCCUGCAAGCCAAAAAGCUGGAACUUCUGGUCGAACGGUCGGCUUCAACCGUCUGCAAUCAACAAGUGGUAGCAUUUGGUCUCCUAGAAAUGUACUGUUGGAGAAGGUAACUGAGAGAACAUGACCAUCAGUUGACCUUCGAGCUGGACUCUGGCAAUUGGAGGAUCCUCACCCACUUCCCUGUCUUUGGAAUAUAUACUCUGCUCACCAUUUCCAAACUGGGAGCUGUUCCAAGAACAUAGCCCUGAUCUUUUUCAGUUUGUCCUAUGUGAACAGCCCGGGCAUUUAAACACCCUCCUGAAUCUAUAGAAAAGUUGAAGACCCAUUUAAAAAUCAGGACAUAUCUCCUUACCUGAAUGCUGUAAGUCUUAAAUCAUAACCACUUCUAGAAGUUAGUCUGGACUAGCAAAUAAGUAAGGCCUAAUAUAAGUGCAUUUCAGUAAAAUCACUUGUAAAUUACAUUUCUGAUCAAUCUUUUCAGGCUUCUAACAUGCCAAAUUAGAGGUGAGUAUUCCAAUUAAGUCAGUCUUUAUCCUUUUGGCAAACAGGGAUAUGGAUCAAUAUACUUGGUGAUGGUGAAUAAAGUCCUUAGUUUUCACUUCUUCAUUCCUCAAAAAUACCUUCUUCAAGGAAAGCCCAAACCAGCAGGGCCACAACAGCAUCAGCCAUGAAAGUAGAUCUUCUGGUCAGCAGUCAUACUUUAAAACUCAACAUGAAGACAUUAUUAACAGGCUGAAACUGCAAGUCUCAAAGUCCUGAUGUUUGGCAAGUUUCAGGAGGUGGAAUCAGCGACCUCUGGGCGGAACAGGUGGAGGAGGAUGGAAGGUCUCUCUGGCUGGAGGUCUGAAAUAAAAGAUAAACAGCAAGUAUGAUGAACAUGGAUCCGUCCUCAUGGUGCUAAGAAAUUAAUGGAUAAAACAGACAAUAGGAACAAUCAGAAAACUGCACUGUUUUGAUAAAGUUCAGAACCUAUGGGAAGACAUAGCAAAGGCAAUCAUGCACUCAUCCAAAGGCCAAGUUCAACUUCUCUGAAUAUGUUUCUCACCUGCCAAACAGAAGUACCCACAGAUACCUACAUCUGCGUGUUGUGUGAGGCUUGGAGAUGACACUUGGAAACCAGACACUCCAGAAGUAAAGCUAAUAAUCUUCUUAUUAUGAAUAAAGAUCUGUUCUUAGAUUUCUUUCCCAUGUGUGCUCCAUGAGCCUUAUGAUUUAUCCUCCACCAUAAAGACAGUCAUGAUUUCCCCUGGCCCCUCUUCCUCUCUCUGCUGCCCCAUGCUGCAGCUGGGGUGGGCCUACAAGCAAACCAUUUCUGUAUUUUAUUCUGAUGAACAAUCCCAACCUAGGACUGGAAGUCCUAUCUCAAGGAAAUGGAUUUGUGAUCAUAGACCUAUCGGAACCAUGGACGUACAGAGUGUAAAAACAGAAUCAAAGGGUGGUCGGUGGGGGACACCCUCUCCAGGACACUGGGAAGCUGCAGCUGGAAACUCAAGUGCCCAGAGAUGCCUGAGAGCUGCCUGCUUUCUCCUCCUUGUCGAGGGGGAAGCUCUUGCUGCCAAUGAGUUUAGUUCAAGAGCCCAGCGAUCUCAAUGUUGGUUAACGUUCUUUUAAAGCAGGACUGUUACUUAGCUGGUAUGCUUUUUUAUGAUCAUAACAUUGUUGACAAUAUUUUUCAACUUCCCUAUUAAUAAAUAGCUUCAGUUCCAAGUACCCUUACUCACUGACCAUUCCAGCCCCUCCUAGAGACUCCACAGACCUCUUAUAAUUCUGCAUCUAACAUGUUAAUUUUGGGUGCUGCAGGAGGCCUCCAGAAGUAUGUUCUGAUUACACAGGACCUUGGCUAUGUAUGCCUUAAAAAGGAAUGCACAGGUUGUUAGUGACUGACUAACGAAUGGCAAAAUAUUUAUAAAA